ACUUGUGCGAUAAAGUAAUGUGUUCGGCUGCUAACUGAAAGGCUGGAGGUUCAAGUCCACCCAAAGGUA
This 69-nucleotide transfer RNA is filed under the name Loxodonta africana (African savanna elephant). It matches the Rfam family "tRNA". From Rfam's summary of the family: Transfer RNA (tRNA) molecules are approximately 80 nucleotides in length. Their secondary structure includes four short double-helical elements and three loops (D, anti-codon, and T loops). Further hydrogen bonds mediate the characteristic L-shaped molecular structure. tRNAs have two regions of fundamental functional importance: the anti-codon, which is responsible for specific mRNA codon recognition, and the 3' end, to which the tRNAs corresponding amino acid is attached (by aminoacyl-tRNA synthetases). tRNAs cope with the degeneracy of the genetic code in two manners: having more than one tRNA (with a specific anti-codon) for a particular amino acid; and 'wobble' base-pairing, i.e. permitting non-standard base-pairing at the 3rd anti-codon position. Lineage: Eukaryota; Metazoa; Chordata; Mammalia; Proboscidea; Elephantidae. The record is from Rfam by way of RNAcentral.